CUCUCUGUGUCCGUACUGUAACUCUGGGCUGAGUGGCUCACUACUUGCUGUGUCCUCAGACUGAUUGAUCAGGCUUGCAAAAGGGAGGAGAGACGGAGAGGAGGGGGAGACGACUCCGGUAGCAGGCAGGCAGGGAGGCAGGCAGCUGGCUGGGUGUGUUAACUCCACAUCUGACCUCUAUGGGAACAGAGCUGCCUCCUCUCCUCUCCAAGCAGACUGUGGGAACCAGGGGGACAGAGUUUUUACCCUCCCUCCCCACCACCACCACCACCACCUCUGCUUCUUGCAGGGCCGUCUCGCUCAGAGAACUGGCGCUGGACAGACCGGGACAUGACAGGACAAGACAGCUCUGGCAGCCAAGACCUCUGAGGAUUUCCACUGCAGAAGGAGUUUUGGAGCCGCCUCCGUCACUCAGACAGCCAGGCGGCUUUCUUGUCUGUUAUUAGCCAGAUUUUUUUAGUCGGUCGGCCAGUAUAAAUCGGUCUCUGGGGGUCUUCCGCUCUCUGAAUAUCCUCACCCGAACUCUGAUGUGACUCAGGCUCCGUCAUGGACCACCAGGAGACCACCAGAGGGGACGGUCACAGGUGCUCCACAUCUGCUGCAGAAGAGAAGCAUCUGGAGUCCAAAAGCGAUGUAACAGUGCGGAGGGCGGUAAAGGGCAGAGAGGUGGAGAUCGGGCCUCUGGUGUAGCUGUUUAGGGGAGGGUUCCUGGCACCGUGAUUUGAUGAACAAAGAGAAACAAAAAUCACAUUGCCAGGGAUUUCCACUCCUUCACAGCUCAGCAGGAACCCUGACGCGGCCACGCAUUUCCACUCCUGGCUGCGUCGGUUCUCAGCCGGGAUUCUGGAGCUCUUGAAGGAUUUAAACAGAAAGUGUAUCAACCAUCUCAGCAGACCUCUAAAAGGGCUGAUUGCCCUUUUUUUUGUGUGUGUGUGUGUUUAAGGCUGCAGCUGUUUGAAAUUUAUACUUUCCUCACCAGUCUCCCCUCUAAUGUGCCAGGAAAUGGAUGUAAAUGCAAGCCAGAGCCACACAGGACAAGGUUUAUAUUUCACAUCUUGGAUUUUAGAUUUCUGAACAAGGAAUUUGUUUGGAUGCAUGAGGUAAAAGUGGAGCUCCUCUACGACACUGCACCCCCUGAAAUGCACUUUGUGAACCGCAGGCUCUGAAAUCACUGACUUCACCGCCGACUUCUCACUUAAAGGUCUGCAUAAAUCUCGGCCAGCCACCCUCUUGCUAAAGGCACAGAGCUUAGCUAAUUGGUGAGCAUUGAUCCCUGCAAUGUGUUGUUCACAGUGGCUAAGUUCAGUGCCCGAGGUGAAAUAGUUGAUUCAACGUCAAGGAUUUGUUCCGGUGGAUGGACAGAGCUUGAUGAUCUCAGAUCAGCUGAAAGACGACGUGAUCGAGGGAGGAAAGGAGGAAAAAGAGGAUAGCAGGGGAUGAAGUGACUUAUAAUGUAGUAUUUGAACUUGUACUGCUUUUCUUGUGGACGAAAGACAACUUUUGUAAUUUAGAUAAUCAUAAUCUCGUAAAUCUACCUAACCUGUUUGACUUAUAUAUAAUAAUGAUAAAA
This is a long non-coding RNA of Fundulus heteroclitus (mummichog), 1570 nucleotides long. RefSeq lists it as uncharacterized. The record is from RefSeq and is a predicted model, not a curated record. The transcript has 2 exons. Lineage: Eukaryota; Metazoa; Chordata; Actinopteri; Cyprinodontiformes; Fundulidae.